This 744-nucleotide ribosomal RNA is filed under the name Zeroviella coreana. RNAcentral's name for it is "mitochondrial SSU rRNA". It matches the Rfam family "Bacterial small subunit ribosomal RNA", at positions 353 to 1202 of the family's 1533-position model. Lineage: Eukaryota; Fungi; Ascomycota; Lecanoromycetes; Teloschistales; Teloschistaceae. The record is from RNAcentral.
CUUGGAGGAUGUAUAGCAAUUGCUAUUUGCAUUAAAAGUUUUAGUGUAAAAUCGACUUUGUCGAAUAAAAUUCUGGGUAGAAUUAUGAUAAUGACAUUACCUACUCAUAAGUCUUGACCAAAUUACGUGCCAGCAGUCGCGGUAAUACGUAGAAGACAAGUGUUAUUCAUCUUUAAUAGGUUUAAAGGGUACUUAGACGGUAAAUAAAGCCUCUAAAAGGUACUAGUUUGCUAGAGUUUUAUAUGAAGGAGUUUUAAAGUACUACUGGUGUAGAGAUGAAAUUCAGUUAUACCUUACAUGGCACAGGUUAAGGCGAAAGCAUCUUCUUAUGUAAAAACUGACGUUGAAGGACGAAGGCUUUGUGUCUCGAACAGGAUUAGAUACCCUAGUAGUCUAAGCAGAAAAUGAUGAAUGUCAUAGAUUAGAUUUAAUUUGAUCUGUAAAUGAAAGUGUAAGCAUUCCACCUCAAGAGUAAUUUGGCAACAUUGGAACUGAAAUCAUUAGACCGUUUCUGAAACCAGUAGUGAAGUAUGUUGUUUAAUUUGAUAAUCCGCAAAAAACCUUACCACAAUUUGAAUAGAUAUAUUUUAUCAUACAAGCGUUGCACGGCUGUCUUCAGUUAAUGUCGUGAGACUUUGGUUAGUUCCAUUAAAUUAACGUAAACCCUUACUUUAUUUUUAUAUAAAGUAGUUCACCGCUAUAUUGGAUGUGAUAAUAGGGAUCAAGACAAGUCAUCAUGACCUA